GUCGAGUCGGCCUGCGCGGAAGAUGUAACGGGGCUAAGUAGUAAACCGAAGCUGCGGCAAUGUGCUUUUGCACAUUGGGUAGGGGAGCGUUCUGUAAGCGGUUGAAGGUGUGUGGUAACGCAUGCUGGACGUAUCAGAAGUGCGAAUGCUGACAUGAGUAACGAUAAAGGGGGUGAAAAACCUCCUCGCCGGAAGACCAAGGGUUCCUGUCCAACGUUAAUCGGGGCAGGGUAAGUCGACCCCUAAGGCGAGGCCGAAAGGCGUAGUCGAUGGGAAACGGGUUAAUAUUCCCGUACUUCUUACAAUUGCGAUGGGGGGACGGAGAAGGCUAGGUGGGCCUGGCGACGGUUGUCCAGGUUCAAGUGCGUAGGCUUAAGAGUUAGGUAAAUCCGGCUCUUUCUAAGGCUGAGACACGACGUCGAGCACCUACGGGUGUGAAGUCAUUGAUGCCAUGCUUCCAGGAAAAGCCUCUAAGCUUCAGAUUGUAAGGAAUCGUACCCCAAACCGACACAGGUGGUCGGGUAGAGAAUACCAAGGCGCUUGAGAGAACUCGGGUGAAGGAACUAGGCAAAAUGGUACCGUAACUUCGGGAGAAGGUACGCUCU
Molecule: ribosomal RNA, 605 nt
Filed under: Vibrio parahaemolyticus
Lineage: Bacteria; Pseudomonadati; Pseudomonadota; Gammaproteobacteria; Vibrionales; Vibrionaceae
Description: partial 23S ribosomal RNA
Rfam family: Bacterial large subunit ribosomal RNA
Source: RNAcentral